RNAcentral lists this ribosomal RNA (253 nucleotides) under uncultured bacterium. RNAcentral describes it as "partial 16S ribosomal RNA". It matches the Rfam family "Bacterial small subunit ribosomal RNA", at positions 524 to 776 of the family's 1533-position model. The record is from RNAcentral.
UACGAAGGGGGCUAGCGUUGCUCGGAAUUACUGGGCGUAAAGGGCGCGUAGGCGGACAGUUUAGUCAGAGGUAAAAGCCCAGGGCUCAACCUUGGAACUGCCUUUGAUACUGACUGUCUUGAGUUCGGGAGAGGUGAGUGGAAUGCCGAGUGUAGAGGUGAAAUUCGUAGAUAUUCGGCGGAACACCAGUGGCGAAGGCGACUCACUGGCCCGAUACUGACGCUGAGACACGAAAGCCAGGGGAGCGAACGGG